Molecule: ribosomal RNA, 253 nt
Filed under: uncultured bacterium
Lineage: Bacteria
Description: partial 16S ribosomal RNA
Rfam family: Bacterial small subunit ribosomal RNA
Source: RNAcentral
UACGUAGGGCGCGAGCGUUGUCCGGAAUUAUUGGGCGUAAAGAGCUCGUAGGCGGCCUGUUGCGUCCGCUGUGAAAUCCCAGGGCUCAACCCUGGGCGUGCAGUGGAUACGGGCAGGCUGGAGGCAGGCAGGGGAGAACGGAAUUCCCGGUGUAGCGGUGAAAUGCGUAGAUAUCGUGUGGAACGCCAAUGGUGAAAACAGGUUGCUGGGGCUGUGCUGACGCUGAGACACGAAAGCCAGGGGAGCGAACGGG